AUUUUUCCAAUGUAAUCAUAGCACUCGUGUCUCAUUACAGCGCUAAUGAAAUUUUAAAAUGUCUCCUGUAACACAUCUACAAUACGUAUAGCUAACAUAGAAGUUAUGUAUAAUGUAUAGUAAGUGUUAAAAUACUUUCGUGAGCCACUGUACGUUAGGUAACAUAGUAGAAAAUUUCCAAAAUGGAACGUAUGCUUCUAGCUUUAGUCGUUUGAGCGCUGAACUGUUUGGUAAGGUAUAACUUGCAUUUCCUUUGCAUUUAAUCCCGUCAAUUACAUAACAGAGCUGCGAUGACCGGAAGCGCUGCUUAAGAAGCGUCAGCCAAAGAGUCAAAGGUAUUUCUAUGAAGCCCUUAGGAUUGCAGGGUUUACACAUCACAAUAUUAUGAUAUAUCGUUUCCUAAUAAAGAAACGUAACAUGUAUCGUAUAACAAUCGAAUUCGUGCUGCAAAAGAACAUUCGUUUCUCCUUUUUUUUUUCAGUUUCUUUCAAUAUAUUGUACCUUAAUAUAAAGGCAACAACGAUAAAAUGAUUGUGCAAUACAAAUAUAUAUAUGUUAUAUCUCAUCGAACUUCGAUAUUCUUUAACUUUGCUUUUCUUGUUCGUCUCUUUUAAAGAAUACAACGAAGAAAAUAUUCCCGCUGAAGUUUGGAACUGAAAGUUCUUACGAGAUCACAGGAAAUUACGAUUUUACAAACGGCGAUCACGAUAAACAAUCGACCCCAUUUUUAUUUGGACAAGAUGAGAAACGCUCGAGAACAUUCAACGCAGUGGAUGAAAAAAGAAGAAACGAAAUGAAAAGAAAACGGGUUGGUCAGGCAAACGAACCAUCGUCAACGGAAUUCGUUCGUCACAUUUCUUUUUUCUUUUCUCUUUUUUUCGUGCAAUGGUCUUUGUUCCUUCGCAAUAGGAAAAACAAGAACAAAAUAAAAAUGAUUGUAAGAUA
Long non-coding RNA from Bombus terrestris (buff-tailed bumblebee), 945 nucleotides. RefSeq lists it as uncharacterized. The transcript is spliced from 3 exons. Lineage: Eukaryota; Metazoa; Arthropoda; Insecta; Hymenoptera; Apidae. The record is from RefSeq and is a predicted model, not a curated record.